Pan troglodytes (chimpanzee) is the source of this 499-nucleotide long non-coding RNA. RefSeq lists it as uncharacterized. The record is from RefSeq and is a predicted model, not a curated record. The transcript has 3 exons. Lineage: Eukaryota; Metazoa; Chordata; Mammalia; Primates; Hominidae.
GGAGGCUGGAGAGGAGCCGGCCCCGGGCAGUGUGAGGUGCGGAAGCGCGGUCCAGACACUUUGCUGACGGGAGGCCGGUCCGCCAGAUCCGGGAGGUGGGGCCUCGUUCUGGACUGCUAUAAGAAACAGAGGCAAAUGCAGGUUGAGGAACCUCACAGUAAGGGAUAAAACGCAUAUUUUAACCUGAUCUGCCUGAUUCUGGAGCCUGCACCAUCAUUCCAUUGUCGUGCUUGCCACAUGGAAGAAAUUUGGGUACAGAGACAGACAAGCACCAAGAGAAGAUGAUGUGAAGAAGCACAGCGAGAACACCAUGUGAAAAUGGAGGACUGGAAUGAAGCAUCUACAAGCCAGGAAAUGUCUGAGGCUACCAGAAGCCAGGAGAGAGGCCUGGAACAGAUCCUGCACUAGAACCUUCAAAGAGAGCAUGGUCCUGCUGACAUGUUGAUUUUGGACUUCUGGCCUCCAAAGCUGUGAGAAUAAAUUUCAGUUGUUUUAAGCC